This is a long non-coding RNA of Gavialis gangeticus (Gharial), 815 nucleotides long. RefSeq lists it as uncharacterized. The transcript has 4 exons. The record is from RefSeq and is a predicted model, not a curated record. Lineage: Eukaryota; Metazoa; Chordata; Crocodylia; Gavialidae.
AAGAUGUCUUCCCUCUGCUAAUAAUCUGGUUUUCAUGAGCUGCAGCUGCGCCAGCUUCAGAGCCAUUGAUCUAUCAUGUGCAGAGACACAAUUCUUUCCACAAAAAGUGCAUCAAAGCAAUUGCUGUGCUUCAUUGAAGUGUGGGAGAAAAUAGAAAAGCCCUAGCAAAGAAAAUGCUAUAUCCUUUGUUCAAAUUAAAACCUUUGCAUGUCAAAAGAUGUAAAACUGGCCCUAUUGCUUUCAGAUGUUAACACAUGUUUUGAUGGUUAAUGCUGCAUUACAAUGGGAUUUCUAUAGACAUAUGACAGCCACAUCAACACCAAAUGAAUACAUUACAGUUCAGGUUUUUAUUACAAUGAAUACUAAAAAAUGCUUGAGAUGAAAACAAAUGUUCUUUUGCAAAAUUCCAUAAAACUGGAGUGACCCUUGUGGUGCUGAAUGACGAAGGAAACAUCACAAUUAUUGCUAUUCUGUCUUCUAACAGUGUUUCAAUGCUCAAAAAAGAGAAGAGCUCUGAACAGGCUUUCAGAACAAAUAUCAAUAAACCAAAAAGAUCCAGGAAUUGGAAGGAAAAAAGCCACCACACAGACCCCUCGAUCUAAGUAUAUGUUCAACUUUAAACAGAAGUAUGUUCCCAGAUCCUACUGAUAUUUAUGUGUUUAUUAAGAGCUUCAUCCAGAUUGCAGUUACAAUGGCCAGACCAGCUCGUUUUGAAGCAUCACGUCGAGUGGUUUGGCCCUUUAAAAUAUUUCUUUAGCACCUGUCUUCUUUCCCUUGACUAGCUGUUUUGUCCAAAGUGUUUUGAGAAUGAUUGG